Molecule: long non-coding RNA, 156 nt
Organism: Erythranthe guttata (spotted monkey flower)
Lineage: Eukaryota; Viridiplantae; Streptophyta; Magnoliopsida; Lamiales; Phrymaceae
Source: RefSeq, a predicted model, not a curated record
CUGGUCCGCACAAUGUGAGAGAUACUUCAACAAGAGUUAUAUUAGAUGCUUGGGGAGACAACAUAAGCAGUCAGAUAUGUUCGCGACUCUGCUUUUUUACAUUUAGUAUUUGCAUCAAAUAAUGUUACAUUGGAUCGAUAUUUUAUACGUUAGAUA